CCGUUCUCAACGGGGUGCGUUCGCGGUGUUUCACUGCCAGCGCUGAGACAAACCCGUCGAACCUGAUCCGGAUAAUGCCGGCGUAGGGAUUUGAGACUCUCCAGAUU
This 107-nucleotide non-coding RNA is filed under the name Erwinia billingiae. Its description in RNAcentral is "TPP sequence". It matches the Rfam family "TPP riboswitch aptamer (THI element)". Rfam says of the family: Vitamin B(1) in its active form thiamin pyrophosphate (TPP) is an essential coenzyme that is synthesised by coupling of pyrimidine and thiazole moieties in bacteria. The previously detected thiamin-regulatory element, thi box was extended, resulting in a new, highly conserved RNA secondary structure, the THI element, which is widely distributed in eubacteria and also occurs in some archaea. Analysis of operon structures identified a large number of new candidate thiamin-regulated genes, mostly transporters, in various prokaryotic organisms. The record is from Rfam by way of RNAcentral. Lineage: Bacteria; Pseudomonadati; Pseudomonadota; Gammaproteobacteria; Enterobacterales; Erwiniaceae.